GGGUUGUGAGGUUAAGCGACUAAGCGUACACGGUGGAUGCCCUGGCAGUCAGAGGCGAUGAAGGACGUGCUAAUCUGCGAAAAGCGUCGGUAAGGUGAUAUGAACCGUUAUAGCCGGCGAUGUCCGAAUGGGGAAACCCAGUGUGAUUCGUCACACUAUCGUUAACUGAAUACAUAGGUUAACGAGGCGAACCGGGGGAACUGAAACAUCUAAGUACCCCGAGGAAAAGAAAUCAACCGAGAUUCCCCCAGUAGCGGCGAGCGAACGGGGAGCAGCCCAGAGUCUGAAUCAGCUUGUGUGUUAGUGGAACGGUCUGGAAAGUCCGACGGUACAGGGUGAUAGUCCCGUACACCAAAAUGCACAGGCUGUGAACUCGAAGAGUAGGGCGGGACACGUGGUAUCCUGUCUGAAUAUGGGGGGACCAUCCUCCAAGGCUAAAUACUCCUGACUGACCGAUAGUGAACCAGUACCGUGAGGGAAAGGCGAAAAGAACCCCGGCGAGGGGAGUGAAAAAGAACCUGAAACCGUGUACGUACAAGCAGUGGGAGCACCUUCGGGUGUGACUGCGUACCUUUUGUAUAAUGGGUCAGCGACUUAUAUUCUGUAGCAAGGUUAACCGUAUAGGGGAGCCGCAGGGAAACCGAGUCUUAACUGGGCGUUAAGUUGCAGGGUAUAGACCCGAAACCCGGUGAUCUAGCCAUGGGCAGGUUGAAGGUUGGGUAACACUAACUGGAGGACCGAACCGACUAAUGUUGAAAAAUUAGCGGAUGACUUGUGGCUGGGGGUGAAAGGCCAAUCAAACCGGGAGAUAGCUGGUUCUCCCCGAAAGCUAUUUAGGUAGCGCCUCGUGAACUCAUCUUCGGGGGUAGAGCACUGUUUCGGCUAGGGGGUCAUCCCGACUUACCAACCCGAUGCAAACUACGAAUACCGAAGAAUGUUAUCACGGGAGACACACGGCGGGUGCUAACGUCCGUCGUGAAGAGGGAAACAACCCAGACCGCCAGCUAAGGUCCCAAAGUCAUGGUUAAGUGGGAAACGAUGUGGGAAGGCACAGACAGCCAGGAUGUUGGCUUAGAAGCAGCCAUCAUUUAAAGAAAGCGUAAUAGCUCACUGGUCGAGUCGGCCUGCGCGGAAGAUGUAACGGGGCUAAACCAUGCACCGAAGCUGCGGCAGCGACGCUUAUGCGUUGUUGGGUAGGGGAGCGUUCUGUAAGCCUGCGAAGGUGGCCUGUGAGGGUUGCUGGAGGUAUCAGAAGUGCGAAUGCUGACAUAAGUAACGAUAAAGCGGGUGAAAAGCCCGCUCGCCGGAAGACCAAGGGUUCCUGUCCAACGUUAAUCGGGGCAGGGUGAGUCGACCCCUAAGGCGAGGCCGAAAGGCGUAGUCGAUGGGAAACAGGUUAAUAUUCCUGUACUUGGUGUUACUGCGAAGGGGGGACGGAGAAGGCUAUGUUAGCCGGGCGACGGUUGUCCCGGUUUAAGCAUGUAGGCUGGUUAUCCAGGCAAAUCCGGAUAAUCAAGGCUGAGGUGUGAUGACGAGGCACUACGGUGCUGAAGUAACAAAUGCCCUGCUUCCAGGAAAAGCCUCUAAGCAUCAGGUAACAUCAAAUCGUACCCCAAACCGACACAGGUGGUCAGGUAGAGAAUACCAAGGCGCUUGAGAGAACUCGGGUGAAGGAACUAGGCAAAAUGGUGCCGUAACUUCGGGAGAAGGCACGCUGGUGUGUAGGUGAAGUCCCUGCGGAUGGAGCUGAGACCAGUCGAAGAUACCAGCUGGCUGCAACUGUUUAUUAAAAACACAGCACUGUGCAAACACGAAAGUGGACGUAUACGGUGUGACGCCUGCCCGGUGCCGGAAGGUUAAUUGAUGGGGUUAUCCGUAAGGAGAAGCUCUUGAUCGAAGCCCCGGUAAACGGCGGCCGUAACUAUAACGGUCCUAAGGUAGCGAAAUUCCUUGUCGGGUAAGUUCCGACCUGCACGAAUGGCGUAAUGAUGGCCAGGCUGUCUCCACCCGAGACUCAGUGAAAUUGAACUCGCUGUGAAGAUGCAGUGUACCCGCGGCAAGACGGAAAGACCCCGUGAACCUUUACUAUAGCUUGACACUGAACAUUGAGCCUUGAUGUGUAGGAUAGGUGGGAGGCUUUGAAGCGUGGACGCCAGUCUGCGUGGAGCCAACCUUGAAAUACCACCCUUUAAUGUUUGAUGUUCUAACGUUGGCCCCUUACCGGGGUUGCGGACAGUGUCUGGUGGGUAGUUUGACUGGGGCGGUCUCCUCCCAAAGCGUAACGGAGGAGCACGAAGGUUAGCUAAUCCUGGUCGGACAUCAGGAGGUUAGUGCAAUGGCAUAAGCUAGCUUGACUGCGAGCGUGACGGCGCGAGCAGGUGCGAAAGCAGGUCAUAGUGAUCCGGUGGUUCUGAAUGGAAGGGCCAUCGCUCAACGGAUAAAAGGUACUCCGGGGAUAACAGGCUGAUACCGCCCAAGAGUUCAUAUCGACGGCGGUGUUUGGCACCUCGAUGUCGGCUCAUCACAUCCUGGGGCUGAAGUAGGUCCCAAGGGUAUGGCUGUUCGCCAUUUAAAGUGGUACGCGAGCUGGGUUUAGAACGUCGUGAGACAGUUCGGUCCCUAUCUGCCGUGGGCGCUGGAGAAUUGAGGGGGGCUGCUCCUAGUACGAGAGGACCGGAGUGGACGCAUCACUGGUGUUCGGGUUGUCAUGCCAAUGGCACUGCCCGGUAGCUAAAUGCGGAAGAGAUAAGUGCUGAAAGCAUCUAAGCACGAAACUUGCCCCGAGAUGAGUUCUCCCUGAGACUUUAAGUCUCCUGAAGGAACGUUAAAGACGAUGACGUUGAUAGGCCGGGUGUGUAAGCGCAGCGAUGCGUUGAGCUAACCGGUACUAAUGAACCGUGAGGCUUAACCUUACAACGCCGAAG
RNAcentral lists this ribosomal RNA (2924 nucleotides) under Klebsiella quasipneumoniae. Its description in RNAcentral is "23S ribosomal RNA". It matches the Rfam family "Bacterial large subunit ribosomal RNA". The record is from RNAcentral. Lineage: Bacteria; Pseudomonadati; Pseudomonadota; Gammaproteobacteria; Enterobacterales; Enterobacteriaceae.